This 253-nucleotide ribosomal RNA is filed under the name uncultured bacterium. RNAcentral describes it as "partial 16S ribosomal RNA". It matches the Rfam family "Bacterial small subunit ribosomal RNA", at positions 524 to 776 of the family's 1533-position model. The record is from RNAcentral.
UACGUAGGGUGCGAGCGUUGCUCGGAAUCACUGGGCGUAAAGGGUGCGUAGGCGGGUCUUUAAGUCAGGGGUGAAAUCCUGGAGCUCAACUCCAGAACUGCCUUUGAUACUGGCGAUCUCGAGUCCGGGAGAGGUGAGUGGAACUGCGAGUGUAGAGGUGAAAUUCGUAGAUAUUCGCAAGAACACCAGUGGCGAAGGCGGCUCACUGGCCCGGUACUGACGCUGAGGUGCGAAAGCGUGGGGAGCAAACAGG